Molecule: transfer-messenger RNA, 374 nt
Filed under: Campylobacterota bacterium
Lineage: Bacteria; Pseudomonadati; Campylobacterota
Also listed under: 1 other name
Description: Epsilonproteobacteria bacterium (hydrothermal vent metagenome) transfer-messenger RNA
Rfam family: transfer-messenger RNA
About the family: Bacterial tmRNA, also known as 10Sa RNA or SsrA, is named for its dual tRNA and mRNA-like properties.
Source: RNAcentral
GGGGGUGACAUGGCUUCGACGGGAGCAGUCUGCCAUAGGCUGCGUGCCGGCUUGAGGAACGCCGUAAAAACUCCUCAAAAAAAUAGACGCAAACAAUACAGAUUACCGACCGGCUUACGCUGUAGCGGCGUAAGUAACCGAACUUCCGGUCCCUCGCGCCAAGCCCUGCCCUCUGGGCUUGGAUAUUGCGGGGUCAUCCUUUAGAGGGCUUGGAUCGCGGCUGGCCCGCGCCGCGAUCGACGCAUAGGGCUGGAUCGGCGAGUAGCUUCGGGCGCUGAGCUACCGCCGAUCGAGAUCGAUCAGCGCUACUACGCACGUAGAGGCCUAUGGUGGGUUGUUUCCGGACUCGGGUUCGAUUCCCGACACCUCCACCA